Molecule: long non-coding RNA, 326 nt
Filed under: Homo sapiens (human)
Lineage: Eukaryota; Metazoa; Chordata; Mammalia; Primates; Hominidae
Description: uncharacterized LOC105376917, transcript variant 2 (LOC105376917)
Source: RNAcentral
AGUCGCACAGUUGCGCGGUGGCCGACAGGAAUUGUUCCCCAGUGGUAAGCCGCAAUCUAGCUGACGUGGCCCCAACCCCACAUUCCUUCCUGCCCUGCAAUGUCUGAAGAAACCCUACAGAGCAAAUUGGCGGCUGCAAAGAAAAAGCCAUGUCCUGGAACAUGUUGAACUGUCAAGACGUCGGAAUUUCAGUAGACAAUGAAUUCAGACAUCUGUGGAAUAGCCUUGGGCACACUGUGUUUAUGGGGAAAAAAGCAGAAGAGAAAAAUGUGUUAUAUAAAUUUAUGGGUGCAAAUAAAUAAAGCAAGUUCUUAGUGACUUAUGAA